UUUCCGUAGGUGAACCUGCGGAGGGAUCAUUAAAGAGUUCAUGCCCUACCGGGUAGAUCUCCCACCCUAUGUUACUAUUACUUUGUUGCUUUGUCGGGCCGUUAGGCCUCGGCCCGCCUACCGGCCCCGGCUUGUCAGCGACCGCCCGAGGCCCAUAAACACUUAAUUAUAGAGUUGUCUGAGUAUUUAAUUAUAGAUAAAACAUUCAACUACGGAUCUCUCGGUUCUGGAAUCGAUGAAGCACGAAGCAGAUCGGAUGAGCACCCGUCUGAUACC
Molecule: unclassified non-coding RNA, 276 nt
Filed under: plant metagenome
Description: partial contains small subunit ribosomal RNA, internal transcribed spacer 1, and 5.8S ribosomal RNA
Source: RNAcentral